This 529-nucleotide long non-coding RNA is filed under the name Mytilus galloprovincialis (Mediterranean mussel). The record is from RNAcentral. Lineage: Eukaryota; Metazoa; Mollusca; Bivalvia; Mytilida; Mytilidae.
GGGAUAUUGAAAUGUAUGCUGAGGAGGGAAGUUCAACUGACAAUUGCAAUGGUCACUAUAGAUGCUGUUGUGCAUCAAUAUUUGUCAAAUCCAAAAGUAUAUCAUUAUUAUAAGGGUUUCAUGGUGAUUCUAAGGCUCAAUUGCAGUACCAAUGCAUGUCUUUAUGUCAAGUCUAAUUGAUUUUAAAUAAAUGGAUGCGCCCAUGGGACACAGAUGAUGCCCCUUCUUACAUAUGGUUAUAAGGGGCAUAACUGAAGAACUGUCGAAAUGAAGCCACCAAAAUUCUUGAUCUGAGUUUUGUAGUGAAAAGCAUUUUGUAAAAUAGUUUCAGAACAUGUACUCUAGUUGAGGAAAACUUAGAGAACAGAAAACCAAUUUUGUGACUUUAGAACCGACAGACAAGAAUUCACACUUCAUGCCCCCUCAGGCAUGACAAAUAUUUUAUUAUCAGCCUUACAUUUUGAUCUUAACAAACAAGAUCAGUCAGUAUUUUGAGAGAAUUUUUACCUAUUUUUCAAGGUUCAUUCUG